Molecule: long non-coding RNA, 1068 nt
Filed under: Marmota monax (woodchuck)
Lineage: Eukaryota; Metazoa; Chordata; Mammalia; Rodentia; Sciuridae
Source: RNAcentral
CGACUCUAAGUUCUUAGCGGUGUCAAAAGUCCGGAGCGAGUCUGAAGUCGACUGCCCUAGAAGGCGACAGUUCGCCUUGGAGGGGCGCAUGUCUCUUGUAUUCUAGAGCGGAUGCGGAGUGACGCAACAUCGUGGGGGGCGGCUGGCCUGCAGUGUGAUCUGCCAUCCUCCAGUCCCCUCUCAGUUUCCAGAACCGUGGUCAGCAUCCCUGAGCCUCCUGAACCUGUGAUUCAUAAUCAUGGGAAUGGAUACUGCAGUUAACAAGGCGGCGGUGGGGUGGAGUGUCUCCCCACAAACAUUUGAUCUAGGGAUGCUCAACUGGUUGUCCUCCUCUCCCAGCCAUACUCCUGCCCUAUUCACGAAGGCUCAAAAACAAAUACCCUGAAACACUAAGGAGAGAGAAGAGAGAGACGAUGUCCCUCUUCCUACGGCGUAAUUUCCUUAGUUUGCAGCACCAUGGUUGGGAAUGUGGGAGUUCCGAGGGAAGUUAUAGGGGAGCUUAAAGCACACUAUGCGAAGGUAAGGGAUUAAUUUAACUAACCAAGGCAUUACAAUUACAGGACUUCUUAGGCUAAUCUGGUAUUAAAUAGUAUUUGUUAUGGAUAUUCGCUAAGCAAAUAGUAAUGCACAUAGUAUAUUUUUAUUUAAUUUGUUUAUACACAGUACUACAAAACUAUCUACCUUUCCUUGACUAUCCUACAAGUCCCAAAAGGAACUAAAGGUUCUGGCCUCUCUUGUCCCCCCAGGAACUCUCUUCCAGUGAGAUAAGGUAAUAGGAACAGGUGCCUUGCGAACUAAUGAGAAGGAUUAAUGCAAAUGUUGCUCUUUAUGCCCGGAUUCCAUUUUCUUUCAAAGGGGUUUGAGGCUGCCUAUUGUAAGUCCCUGAUAUGUACCCCAGGAGCCCCGGAAGUCCUGACCGAGCUGGCUAGUGCAUUAAAGAUGAAGACCCCGCCGGAAUGGUAGCACGCCGGAAUGGUAGCACACGCCUGUGAUCAUAGCAACUCAGGAGGGAAAGGCAGGAGGAUCACAAGUACAAGGCCAGUCUGGGCCACUUAGUAAGACCCUAUC